GGCAGGAGGCCAAGCAAAGGGCAGCAGUGAGUGGUUUUGAGGCUGUGAUGUGAGACAUCUUUUCACAAAAAGCUUGCAAUCCAAAGCCAGGCCAGUCCUUCAGCUGAGUCAUAAAGAGCUACGUAGAAUGGAGGCUUGGGACACAGCAGGAAGCAGGAGGAGGAACAGCAACUGGGUAGAAAAGCCAUGAACUUUCUUGAAGAGACAAUUCAGAAGAAUCCUCUGCAGUGUGUAAGAAAGGUGGCUACAUACUGAAGACCUACACGAUCGUCUGGCAACCUCAUUGACAGCUUCAUUAAACAUUUCAUUCUACAUCACUGACAUGCAACUGAUUUCCUCUGAGGUUGCAGAAAAACCAUUAGGCUUUCAUCAAAAUGAA
Molecule: non-coding RNA, 379 nt
Organism: Microcebus murinus (gray mouse lemur)
Lineage: Eukaryota; Metazoa; Chordata; Mammalia; Primates; Cheirogaleidae
Source: RefSeq, a predicted model, not a curated record